GUGAAUCAUCGAAUCUUUGAACGCAAAUUGCACUCCUCUCGGAGAGUAUGCCUGUUUCAGGGUCAGCAUAAAAAAAAUCGACAUAGUCGCUGUUUCGCGGUCAUAUUCGGCGGAAAUUGGGUUAUCUUAAAACUUUUGGUUUUAAGUGGCUUAAAUUAUUCUUUACGAUUCAACGAACGUUUCUAAGAUUUACUUACACGUUUAAGGUAUAGAUCUUUAUUAGAUGUGGCUGUUGCAUUUGAUCACGUCUAAAUAUAU
This 258-nucleotide unclassified non-coding RNA is filed under the name Glomus sp. Its description in RNAcentral is "partial contains 5.8S ribosomal RNA and internal transcribed spacer 2". The stretch from base 1 to 65 matches the Rfam family "5.8S ribosomal RNA", at positions 84 to 154 of the family's 154-position model. Lineage: Eukaryota; Fungi; Glomeromycota; Glomeromycetes; Glomerales; Glomeraceae. The record is from RNAcentral.